Molecule: long non-coding RNA, 524 nt
Organism: Dreissena polymorpha
Lineage: Eukaryota; Metazoa; Mollusca; Bivalvia; Myida; Dreissenidae
Exons: 4
Source: RefSeq, a predicted model, not a curated record
CGUGUCUCAAUGGUAUAAAACACGUAUACAUAUACCAUGUUUACGUUUUGCGAUCGGAAGUUGUGGGAUAUAUUGUCAAAAUACCAACAUUCUUACCGCCAGUGAUUUAUUAGCAAUCUAUAAAGGACAAACAUGAAAAUAUUCGUGCUGGGAUGUAUGUGCGUGUUGAGCGUGAUUGCCAUGGUUUCUUCCACGGCAAUGUAUGGUGCUUAUCCGGCCUAUACCGGCGUUGGAUACGGUAGCUAUGGAUACGGGGCAGUAGGCGGCGGCGGCGGAUUCGGGGGCAUCUUUGGCAUCCUUAUUUUCUUGUUUGUAUUUAUCAUCAUUAUCAACCUUCUGUUCGGCGGUGGUAUCGGAGGCGGCAAUCAAGGCGGUGGCGGUGGAUACACGAACAACAAGAACAAUUACUAGACAGUGAUCAACCUUGUGACAACCAUUCGACGACACGAUUUAUGGAAACAAGAACAAGCUUCUGUAAUACUAUGUAACAUUAUGUAUGCAUAUUAAAUAAGAGCAUCCCUCAA